This 663-nucleotide ribosomal RNA is filed under the name uncultured bacterium. RNAcentral's name for it is "bacterial SSU rRNA". It matches the Rfam family "Bacterial small subunit ribosomal RNA", at positions 54 to 745 of the family's 1533-position model. The record is from RNAcentral.
CAUGCAAGUCGAACGAAAUAUUUAGCACUUGUGUUAAAUAAUUUAGUGGCGAACGGGUGAGUAACACGUAAGAACUUACCCCUAGACGAGGUACAACAGUUGGAAACGACUGCUAAUACCUCAUAUUACCGGAAGGUGAAAGAAGCAAUUCGUCUAGGGCGAGGCUUGCGUCUGAUUAGCUUGUUGGUGAGGUAAAGGCUUACCAAGGCGACGAUCAGUAGUUGGUCUUAGAGGAUGAUCAGCCACAUUGGGACUGAGACACGGCCCAAACUUUUACGGGAGGCAGCAGUAAGGAAUUUUCCGCAAUGGGCGCAAGCCUGACGGAGCAAUACCGCGUGAAGGAUGACGGCCCAUGGGUAGUAAACUUCUUUUCUUGGAGAAGAAUUCUGACGGUAUCCAAGGAAUAAGCAUCGGCUAACUCCGUGCCAGCAGCCGCGGUAAGACGGGGGAUGCAAGCGUUAUUCGGAAUUAUUGGGCGUAAAGCGUCUGUAGGUGGUAAGGAAAGUGUAAUGUUAAAGAUCAGGGCUCAACCCUGGGAAAGCAUUGCAAACUAUCUUACUUGAGUUCGGUAGGGGCAGAGAGAAUUCCCAGUGUAGCGGUGAAAUGCGUAGAUAUUGGGAGGAAGACCAGUGGCGAAGGCGUUCUGCUGGGCCGUAACUGACA